GACGAACGCUGGCGGCGUGCUUAACACAUGCAAGUCGAACGGGAUGAUUUAGAAGCUUGCUUUUAGAGAAUCUAGUGGCAAACGGGUGAGUAACACGUAGGCAACCUGCCGACAGGAUGGGGACAACAUUCCGAAAGGAAUGCUAAUACCGAAUGAAGCGCAGGAGAGGCAUCUCUCCUGCGUGAAAGAUGGCCUCUAUUUAUAAGCUAUCACCUGUCGAUGGGCCGGCGUCUGAUUAGCUGGUUGGGGAGGUAACGGCUCACCAAGGGGACGAUCAGUAGAGGGGAUGAGAGGAGGUACAGGAAAAUUGGAACUGAGACACGGUCAGGACGCCGACGGGAGGCAGAAGGGGGGAAGAUUGGAGAAUGGGCGGAAGACUGAUCCAGAAAUACAGAGUGGGUGAAGAAGGCAUUUGGGUUGUAAAGUACUUUUGUUGGGAAAGAAAAGCAGAAGGUUAAUAACCCGCUGUUCUGAGGGUAAAAAAAGAAUAAGAACGGGAUAACUUCGUG
This 509-nucleotide ribosomal RNA is filed under the name uncultured bacterium. RNAcentral describes it as "partial 16S ribosomal RNA". It matches the Rfam family "Bacterial small subunit ribosomal RNA", at positions 28 to 507 of the family's 1533-position model. The record is from RNAcentral.